This 425-nucleotide ribosomal RNA is filed under the name uncultured eukaryote. Its description in RNAcentral is "bacterial SSU rRNA". It matches the Rfam family "Eukaryotic small subunit ribosomal RNA", at positions 592 to 1018 of the family's 1831-position model. The record is from RNAcentral.
CAAUAGCGUAUAUUAAAGUUGUUGCAGUUAAAACGCUCGUAGUUGAAUUUUGGUCUUGGCUAGGUGGUCUGCGCGUAUGCACAGUACUAUCCGGCUGGGACUUUCCUUCUGGCUACCUAGGGUGGUAUUUAUUUAUUGCCUUAGGGAAUCAGGACUUUUACUUUGAAAAAUUAGAGUGUUUAAAGCAGUCUUAUGACUGAAUACAUUAGCAUGGAAUAAUAAAAUAGGACUUUGGUUUUAUUUUGUUGGUUUUCGUAGACCAAAGUAAUGAUUAAUAGGGAUAGUUGGGGCCGGUUACUAUUUCUAGAGUCAGAGGUGAAAUUCUUGGAUUUCUGAAAGAGUCACUACUGCGAAGGCAUUCGGCAAGGAUGUUUUUCAUUAAUCAAGAACGAAAGUUGGGGGAGUCGAAGACGAUUAGAUACCGU